CCAGACUCCUACGGGAGGCAGCAGUGAGGAAUAUUGGUCAAUGGCCGGAAGGCUGAACCAGCCAAGCCGCGUGAAGGACGAAGGUGCCAAGCAUUGUAAACUUCUUUUGUCAAGGGACAAAAUCAGGCUCGAGAGCCUGACCGAGGGUACUUGAAGAAAAAGCAUCGGCUAACUCCGUGCCAGCAGCCGCGGUAAUACGUAGGGAGCAAGCGUUAUCCGGAUUUAUUGGGUGUAAAGGGUGCGUAGACGGGAAAUUAAGUUAGUUGUGAAAUCCCUCGGCUCAACUGAGGAACUGCAACUAAAACUGAUUUUCUUGAGUGCAGGAGAGGUAAGUGGAAUUCCUAGUGUAGCGGUGAAAUGCGUAGAUAUUAGGAGGAACACCAGUGGCGAAGGCGACUUACUGGACUGUAACUGACGUUGAGGCACGAAAGUGUGGGGAGCAAACAGGAUUAGAUACCCCUGUACUG
This 467-nucleotide ribosomal RNA is filed under the name uncultured bacterium. Its description in RNAcentral is "bacterial SSU rRNA". It matches the Rfam family "Bacterial small subunit ribosomal RNA", at positions 331 to 793 of the family's 1533-position model. The record is from RNAcentral.